UUUUUUUUUUUUUUUUUUUUUUUUUGGCAGCAAAAAAAAAAUGGAACAUGUAAAUGUCAUUUCAGAAUACCAACAUGUUUAAGAGUGCUAAGAAGAAAAUAAAUUCAGCCAUACAACUUGAAAUCUAGAGAAUAUUGUUUUCUUCCAUCAAGGCAUUCUUGCCAGGUCCUGGAAAUAAUGAUAUCUAGAUUAAUUCAAGUCCCAGAAGCAUGAUGACGCCUCUGAUCAGUCUUUGUAUUCACAAAUUUUUAUGUCAAAAUCAAACCACUGGAGUCAACAGAGGCUUCUUAAAGAAGUGUGCUUCCAAGUUGCCAACAACAAGGUCAGCCAUAGCUUUUCUGGUUUCCACCGUACCACUUCCCACAUGAGGCAAUAGGACUACAUUUUCAAGACCAAAUAGCGGCUCAGGCACAUUAGGCUCGUCUUCAAACACAUCAAGCCCAGCACCACCUAACCUGCCUUCAAGUAGUGCAGACACCAGCUCAGGUUCAUCAACAUGAGGACCUCUACCAAUGUUAAUGAGGACCCCCUUUGGACCUAAUGCAUUCAUAACUUCACGAUUGACAAUGUGGUGGGUUUCUUCUGUUAGUGCACAUGCAACGACAAGGAUUUGACAAUUGGCAGCCAACUCAAUAACGCUUGGAUAGUACCUGUAUUUUACAUCUGGUUUUUCUGUUCUAGCAUAGUAACUAAUUGGACAGCUAAAUGCUUCAGCUCUUGUGGCAAUUGCCAUGCCGAUCCUGCCCAACCCAAUAAUGCCGACAGACUUCCCAGUAAACUUAGUAGUCAACUUGUAGUCACCCUUUUUCCACUUUCCACUCCUGACAUACCGAUCACUCUCACACAACCUCCUCAGUACCGCCAACAUCAACCCAAUAGCCAAGUCGGCGACAUCAUUCGUCAGAACAUCAGGCGUGUUUGUGACCCGUAUCCUUUUCUCCUUGCACUUGGGCAAAUCAACCUUAUCGAGCCCCACGCUGAAACUGGAGACGAUUUCCAGCUUCGGCAAUUGGUCGAUCAGUUCGGCAUCGGCACCGAACCCGGCGUUACCCACGACUGCCCUGAUCGAAUUCUUGUGGGAAUUGAUGAAGUGGGUCUUGUCUGGGGCGUUUUGGAGCUUGUAGAGGGUGAAGCGCUUCUCGAGUUCUUCAACGAGGUAGGGGAAGUUUGGAGGGCAGGUCAUUAGAACACCGAUCGACUCCAUUGGUAUUUUUGGAUGGAGUCCUCCUAUUUGUCAGGAGAAGUGAGCCUUUCAGUGCGAGUGAUAAUGGAAGAGUUGCGAUUUUGUACAGUUUGGCUGCGGUUGGUUUGGGGUAUUCAGGGGUCAGCGUGACUGCGUAGUUGCAGUUUACAGGUGAGUUUUCUUUGGAUUUUUGCGUUUGGAUUUCGCUUGUGGCGUGGCAC
This 1404-nucleotide unclassified non-coding RNA is filed under the name Hevea brasiliensis (rubber tree). The record is from RNAcentral. Lineage: Eukaryota; Viridiplantae; Streptophyta; Magnoliopsida; Malpighiales; Euphorbiaceae.